RNAcentral lists this small nuclear RNA (181 nucleotides) under Erinaceus europaeus (western European hedgehog). Its description in RNAcentral is "7SK RNA". It matches the Rfam family "7SK RNA", at positions 1 to 187 of the family's 331-position model. Rfam says of the family: 7SK was discovered as an abundant small nuclear RNA in the mid-70s but a possible function has only recently been suggested. Two independent studies have found that 7SK RNA binds the CDK9/cyclin T complex (known as elongation factor P-TEFb). Lineage: Eukaryota; Metazoa; Chordata; Mammalia; Eulipotyphla; Erinaceidae. The record is from Rfam by way of RNAcentral.
GGAUGUGAGGGCGAUCUGGCUGCAACAUCUGUCACCCCAUUGAUCUCCAGGGUUGAUCUGACUGGCUAUGCGGGUGUCCCCUUCCUCCCUUACAGCACCAUGUGCUGCAUCCUUCCCGAAGCUGCAUGCUCGGUCGAAGAGGAUGGCCUUCCCUGAAUAGAAUCAAACAAACUGAGGCCAG